Nothoprocta perdicaria is the source of this 122-nucleotide long non-coding RNA. RefSeq lists it as uncharacterized. NCBI's taxonomy places the organism in Eukaryota, Metazoa, Chordata, Aves, Tinamiformes, Tinamidae. The transcript is spliced from 2 exons. The record is from RefSeq and is a predicted model, not a curated record.
AUUUGCUGAAUCAAAGCCUGUGUGAACCAAGAGCAAAACUAUGGGCUGAUCUGCCCACUACAAGCGUCUCUGAAUCCCUGCAGGCAGGUAUUUUGUGGUGUAGAGCUGCAGAUAUCCUGCAA